CAUCCUUCACUGUAUUUCUCAUGUUGUAUGCGUAGUUCUCCAAGGAGUUCUUGGCAUCCACCUUCUUCUUCACCUCUUCAUCCUCUGCUUUGUACUUCUCUGCAUCUUGCACCAUCCUUUCAAUAUCUUCCUUGCUCAAUCUUCCUUUGUCGUUAGUGAUUGUGAUCUUGUUCUUCACUCCGGCAGUCUUAUCUUCUGCAGAGACAUUCAAAAUACCAUUGGCGUCAAUGUCGAAACACACAUUAAUUUGAGGAACGCCCCUGGGUGCCGGUGGGAUUCCGGUGAGCUCGAAUUUGCCAAGAAGAUUGUUGUCUUUGGUCCUAGCUCUUUCACCUUCAUACACCUGAAUAAGCACUCCUGGCUGGUUAUCGGAGUAUGUAGAAAAGAUCUGCUCUUUCUUGGUAGGAAUCGUCGUGUUCCUCGGAAUCAAGACUGUCAUUACACCACCGGCAGUCUCAAUACCGAGGCUGAGAGGAGUGACAUCCAAGAGAAGCAAAUCUUGAACCUUCUCAUCCCCUUCACCGGUAAGAAUUGCGGCUUGGACAGCAGCUCCAUAUGCCACGGCCUCAUCUGGGUUUAUGCUCUUGCAGAGUUCCUUUCCAUUAAAGAAAUCUUGCAAAAGUUGCUGAACUUUGGGAAUUCUUGUUGACCCACCAACGAGGACAACCUCAUGAACAUGACUCUUGUCAAUCUUGGAGUCCCGAAGACAUUUCUCCACAGGUUCCAUGCACUUUCUGAACAAAUCCAUGUUCAGUUCUUCAAAUCUUGCUCUAGUGAUCGUUGCAUAGAAAUCAAUGCCUUCAUAGAGAGAAUCAAUCUCUAUAGUUGUCUGUGAGGUUGAAGACAGCGUCCUCUUUGCCCUCUCACAGGCGGUUCUCAAUCUUCUCAGGGCUCUGGCAUUAGUACUAAUAUCCUUCUUGUGCUUCCUCUUGAACUCUGCAGCAAAAUGGCUGACAAGCCUAUUGUCGAAGUC
Molecule: long non-coding RNA, 973 nt
Filed under: Manihot esculenta (cassava)
Lineage: Eukaryota; Viridiplantae; Streptophyta; Magnoliopsida; Malpighiales; Euphorbiaceae
Description: long non-coding RNA (MESC_LNC006454)
Source: RNAcentral